UAAUAAAAGUAUCAAUUAUACGGUCUCAAACUUCUGAACGGUAGUGUAUGAAUGUUCCAGUUCUUGCUGUUUUCACUGUCAUUAUCACUGCUCGCUUCAGUGUGUGUCUCUGAUUGGUCAAUAGGCAGCGGUGGGUGUGGCCCAGAUAAUCAGAGCGUCAGUGACAUCAUUAACCUCGAGAUGUUGCAACUUGGAUCCAAACUGAAAUCAAGUAACACACAGUCAGGCUGGUCCUGUCCUUCCUGUACAUUCAUAAAUACGUCUACGAGACCCGGCUGUGAAAUCUGCAGCACAGAUCGACCCAAUCCUCCCAAUCACAGCAGCGUUCAGCAGGAAAAAGCAAGAAGAGCGAACCAGUGAAACUCAGC
This is a long non-coding RNA of Sinocyclocheilus grahami, 368 nucleotides long. RefSeq lists it as uncharacterized. The record is from RefSeq and is a predicted model, not a curated record. Lineage: Eukaryota; Metazoa; Chordata; Actinopteri; Cypriniformes; Cyprinidae. The transcript is spliced from 3 exons.